CUUUGGUUCAUGUGCUUGGCUGAUAAGCCAAUGGUGCGAAGCUACCAUCUGAGGGAUUAUGACUGAACGCCUCUAAGUCAGAAUCCCGCCUGGGAAAGCGACGAUGCAUUCGUGCCUCGGCCUCGAGAGGCGUAGCUAGACGGCCGCGUGGCCGUGGAUAGAGCCCGAUUCCGACCCGAGAGGCCGCGGCAAGAGGCGGCCUCGAAGUCGGUGGAUCCUCCUGCUCGAAAGGCGGGGUGCUAAACCAUUCGCAGACGACCUAGUUGAAGAUCGGGGUGUCGUGAUCACUAGAGCAGUACAUCUCACUGCGAUUUGUUGAGAGUAAGCCUCAAGAUCUGUCGGUUUGU
This is a non-coding RNA of Ciona savignyi (Pacific transparent sea squirt), 347 nucleotides long. NCBI's taxonomy places the organism in Eukaryota, Metazoa, Chordata, Ascidiacea, Phlebobranchia, Cionidae. The record is from Rfam.